UGAGGACCAAAAUAUCGUUGAUG
Molecule: non-coding RNA, 23 nt
Filed under: Arabidopsis thaliana (thale cress)
Lineage: Eukaryota; Viridiplantae; Streptophyta; Magnoliopsida; Brassicales; Brassicaceae
Source: RNAcentral